UAGUCCACGCCGUAAACGAUGUGUGCUAGUUGUCGGGAGCUUAAGCUUUCGGUGACGCAGCUAACGCAUUAAGCACACCGCCUGGGGAGUACGGUCGCAAGAUUAAAACUCAAAGGAAUUGACGGGGACCCGCACAAGCGGUGGAGCAUGUUGUUUAAUUCGAAGCUACGCGAAGAACCUUACCCAGACUUGACAUGGAUGGAUUAGCUCCGGGAAACCGGAGUGACGCCCUUCGGGGUGGAACUUCCACAGGUGUUGCAUGGCUGUCGUCAGCUCGUGUCGUGAGAUGUCGGGUUAAGUCCCUGAACGAGCGAAACCCCUGUUGUUAGUUGCCAGCAUGUAAUGGUGGGGACUCUAACAAGACUGCCGUGGUUAACACGGAGGAAGGUGGGGACGACGUCAAGUCAUCAUGGCCCUUAUGUCUGGGGCUACACACGUGCUACAAUGGGCAGUACAGAGGGCGCCAAUGCUGCGAAGCGGAGGAAAUCCCUAAAGCUGUCCCUAGUCCGGA
This 511-nucleotide ribosomal RNA is filed under the name uncultured bacterium. RNAcentral's name for it is "bacterial SSU rRNA". It matches the Rfam family "Bacterial small subunit ribosomal RNA", at positions 791 to 1297 of the family's 1533-position model. The record is from RNAcentral.